GUGGCGAAACCCUGGUGUUGCAAGAGUUUCUUUCAGAUUGCUUCAUUCUAAGUUCCCUGUUCAUUCCCACAUGUUUUCCAGAUAUACAAGGACCCUUUUUUGUCCAUUGUCACUUUAAAGAAGAACAUGGAUAGAUGAUGACAUCACGGCCCAGCUGUGGAGAUGCUGGGAGCUUCACUGGGGUGAGAAUGCAUGCCGUUACCAGGAGAACCCCUUCUAACAACGUAAGGAAGGAUGUGGCUGGACAUCACCUGGCUUCACCCAAAGUAUGCCAAGUUAUUGUUUUUGUAAUUGUUAUUAUGGAUGGUUGCCAGAGCAGCUGUUUUAAAAGUUGCAGGACAAUAUAUAGUUGGUCUCCACCUGAGUUCCGGCAGCUCCCGACUUCCACCACUUUAAUGACAACAUUGUUUUCCACAAUACGCUGUCUAUCCUCUUGCUGUUGUUAUUUGUCGUAUUACCUUUGGCAAUAAGCAUGCAGGACAUACCCCAGAGACAGUAAAUAGCUUGGUUCCCAUUGCAAACGGACUUAAGACUGACCUGGGAUGAGAACUCCCCUACCAUCGAUGAGGGUCUGGGCCUCCAUGCUGGCUAUCCAGUGAGACUAUACCUUGUAAAGUCUUCAUGUUUAAUUAGAGAGCAACUCACUCCUGUUAACCCUUUUUUAUAACACUACGUGCUUCACUGGUCUUCCUUUUGGGUUGUGGUUAUCGUUUAACGUGGCUUAGCGUUAUGUCCUGUACACCUGGUUAUUGCAACACAGGUGGAUUUUGGGACUUAAAACCUCUUUGUUUGCAAGAUCUAUACUCCAUGCAUGUUGCUGUGCACCCCAGAAAGUAAGGAUUUGGAUAUAAGAAUAUAAUCAAUCCUGGAAUAUGUCUUGUAUCUUGGGGAGUAAUAAGUGAAUUAUUUUGUUGUUGGGUUAAAAAUGUGGACUAUGUCUAAUAAACUAAGCUCACCAAUAAAUUGCUGUAGAGUA
This is a long non-coding RNA of Conger conger (European conger), 976 nucleotides long. RefSeq lists it as uncharacterized. The record is from RefSeq and is a predicted model, not a curated record. NCBI's taxonomy places the organism in Eukaryota, Metazoa, Chordata, Actinopteri, Anguilliformes, Congridae. The transcript has 2 exons.